RNAcentral lists this transfer RNA (72 nucleotides) under Bos taurus (domestic cattle). It matches the Rfam family "tRNA". Rfam says of the family: Transfer RNA (tRNA) molecules are approximately 80 nucleotides in length. Their secondary structure includes four short double-helical elements and three loops (D, anti-codon, and T loops). Lineage: Eukaryota; Metazoa; Chordata; Mammalia; Artiodactyla; Bovidae. The record is from Rfam by way of RNAcentral. RNAcentral also lists the same sequence under 2 other names.
UCCACGGUGGCUCACUGGUAAAGAAUCUGCCUGCCAAUGCAGGAGACACGGGUUUGAUCCCUGACCGAGGAA